This 462-nucleotide ribosomal RNA is filed under the name uncultured bacterium. RNAcentral describes it as "partial 16S ribosomal RNA". It matches the Rfam family "Bacterial small subunit ribosomal RNA", at positions 338 to 795 of the family's 1533-position model. The record is from RNAcentral.
CCUACGGGAGGCAGCAGUGAGGAAUAUUGGUCAAUGGGCUUACCCCUGAACCAGCGAAGUCGCGUGAGGGAAGACUGCCCUCUGGGUUGUAAACCUCUUUUGUCAGGGAGCAACGCCGGCUACGUGUAGCCGGACUGAGAGUACCUGAAGACAAAGCAUCGGCUAACUCCGUGCGAGCAGCCGCGGUAAUACGGAGGAUGCGAGCGUUAUCCGGAUGUAUUGGGUUUAAAGGGUGCGUAGGCUGUGAGGUAAGUCAGCGGUGAAAUGCCCCCGCUCAACGGGGUGAAGUGCCAUUGAUACUGCCUGGCUGGAAUGCGGAUGCCGUGGGAGGAAUGUGUGGUGUAGCGGUGAAAUGCAUAGAUAUCACACAGAACACCGAUUGCGAAGGCAUCUCACGAAUCCGCGAUUGACGCUGAUGCACGAAAGCGUGGGUAGCAAACAGGAUUAGAUACCCUUGUAGUC